This is a non-coding RNA of Sus scrofa (pig), 3218 nucleotides long. NCBI's taxonomy places the organism in Eukaryota, Metazoa, Chordata, Mammalia, Artiodactyla, Suidae. The record is from RefSeq and is a predicted model, not a curated record.
GCGGCCCUAAAAAGCAAAAUAAAUAAAUAACUUCGUCCCAAAGCACUCCUGUCUGUGGGCUUUGCAAAUUGCUAGGCGUCCCUUACAGAGUCCCCAAGGUCACAGCCCCAAGGCUACCGUGGUGUGUGGUAGGUAAGAGCCAGGAGAGCCAACUGUGUGCAUCUGUCUCCAACCCUGCAUUCAGUGACACCAUACUGACAGCGGAAAUCAGCCAUGCUGGAAAUAUUUACACCACGGGGAUCAGCACACGCUGCAAACCAGGGCUUUUGGUUUCGUGGGGAGCCAGCUGCUAAACCUUUCCCAGCUCAGGAAUGGGCAGAGCCAGUGAUGGGCCAAAUCAGCUCCUGGCUGACUGUGCAUAGGUUCCCAGCAAACACAGCACCCACCUCAGCCCAAUGUACCAUCUCUAUGGCCAGAGUGAGGGUUCCCUUCUGCCCAUGCCUCACCUCUAGAUGAUGAGAAAAUGUUAACACAUACCCUUUCUAGCAGCUGUUUUCCCCCAAUCCUGCAUUUGAGGAUAUUUGUUGCAUAUUUUUGGUGCUAGAUUCAAGAAGGAGAGUGACUUCCUUUCCCUGCUAGGCACACUGAGGCAAGGGAGGUUGAAGUGACUUUUCUCAGGUCACCCAGGAAUCUGAGAUGGAAACCUGUUAACACCUGUCAAUUUGCUCUCUGCACUUCAAAUUUAAGAUUAAUACCUUGGGUUUGGCAACAAUUCUAUUUUCAUCCCCUCAAAGCACUGCUGUUAAAAUUAUGGUCCCCCCGUACCCAUGCAGUAGAACACAGUGUCUAUCUUAAACAAGUGAAGUAAAUCUGGGUAAUCUAUGCUCUCAAAAAACCCCAACAAAACACAGAAAGGUACUUGUAUAUACAUGGCCAUAUUUUUGAAUAUGGAGAAUACUGCAUACAUAUCUAUAUAGUUUGAUAUGUAUAUAGAACAUUUUGGAAGAAAAACACUUACCGCCAGAAGCCUCAGAGUGGGAGCCAGGGUGAUACAUAUUUUAUUGCUUCAUUGUAUAUCUUUUGUUCUUUUUGACAUUUUACCCUGUGCAAGUAUUACAUUCUCCAUUUUUUUUAAAAAAGCUAGUCAAAAGGAACAAAAAAAUACUGCUGCUAAAAGCAUCUUCAUCACACCACUCUCUUCCCAAAUCCAGCCAACCACUCCUCCACCCCAUCUGUAGCAUAUUCAAGCUUGCCUUUGUUCUACUUUGCCACUGUCUGCUCCAUCUUGCUCCUCUUCUGGGGGCGGCAGGAGGUCACAGAGCAGCCCAUGGGGUUGGCAUCCCUGAGAAGUGCUCGUCUCUCAUUUCCUAAAGACCAGCCAGUGUCCUACUUGGCCCGAGGACUUCUGUCUGGCUCUGAUUCGAGGGGGAUUCCAGGAAUGACCCAGAACAUCCUUUCCAUGCUAAAGCAAGUAACUCUAGACCAAGUCAGAGGCAGGAGGCUUUUCCACUGGGGUCAGUAAACCCAUGGGCACGAAUACCCAGAAAUGGUACAGGCUAAACCGAUGAUGACGCCAGGUGGCAUGCAGAUGUUAGCAAGUAAAAGCUCCCAGUUGAGUUGUUGAUCUCAUCGGGAACUGGGUAGAAGCAGGUGAAGGACUAGAGACCGGACAACUUCAUUCCAGUUUUGCAAAAGAAGAAAGUAAGGUAAGCUCUGAAAACUACAAACAAAUGCGCUGGGCCCAGAGACUGGCUCAGUAAAGGGCAGACACGUGAUUAUUUAGGAAAGGAAAAAAAAAAAUGAUAUGGUGAGCACUAGGAAUGGGCCUGGGAUUACCAGGAACCAACCCUACCAGGCUGGUCUUGUUCCCUAAUUCAAUAAGGUGGUGAGGUUCUCACAUCAAGGAAAUGUAAGAAGGAAUGUCUGCCUGUCAUCAAAGACUUUUUAAUAAGACCCUCGAACAGGGGGGAGGCGGGGCUGGAUGGCUCAACGGACUGGAUGGUGAAACCCCAGAGACAGUUCUCGAUUCCUUAAUACAGCAGGGAGGAAGGUUUUGGGGGAUCUGCAUCCGAGCUCUGCUCUCAAACGAAUCCUGUCCAACAGUGUCACGAAGAACGUGGAUAACGAUGAAGAGGACAGCUGUCAUCACUUUCGUCUGUGACAGCAAUAAAAAUACUCGAUGUUGGGAUGGCUCUUAAGGCAGAAUCAAGAAGACCCUGUUUCAUUCAGGCUACAAGCGCACGAUCAAAGCCUGGCAACAUAAAACAGACUUUCCGAAUCCAAAUAUAGUUUUGCAUGCUGAAAUGAUGGGGACAUUUCUGACACAAUGAAAUGUAAUGUGGGUGCCACAAAGGUCCUGAACGUGGGUAUAGAAAACAACUUUGCAAACACAGGAUCAGGGCGACGUGACCACAUUUUUUUUUUUUUUUAAAGUAUAAGCUAAAGUUGACAAUUAUCUAUGUGAAUCAACGGUGCGAGGCUGCCAAAGUCAACGGGCUCGCAAGCUAUGUUGUUAGAGAAUGGAGUCCCAAAGUACAGCCCGGCUCCACUGCAAGGUGACAGACCAUGCCUGGAUUACUGCAAAUGGUCCCAGGCCCCAUGCUUUAAGAGCGGCCAAGCCCAGAAGGCACUUCAAAUCCUGUUAUAUUUGGAACAAUCAAAGGAGCUGGUGAUAUCCAGCUUCAGGAAAGUAAGAAUCCAGGGAAUGUGACAGUUUCAAAUAUUCGAAGAGCCACCAAGGAGAAGAGUUGUUGAAUUAGCUCUCUAACUUCAAGAUAUCAAAGGAGGAUCAAUGAAGAGAAUUGAUCUUAUGUAGAGGUAUUUCGGUCCAAUAUAAAGAAUGUCUUUCUAACAGAGCUCUCUAAAGACAGAAUAGUCUUUCUUGGGUAGGAUCAAGUUUUCCACCACUUGAUGUGUUCAGACAGGAAGGAGGUGAUGCUUAGGGAAAGACUGAGGUUGGGGUGAAAUGACCUCCGGUGUCUCAUAGGGUCUGCGAAUUUGGUUGUUUUGUGUUCCUUGUCACAUCCUUCACAGUGCCGUGGACUUUGCUUUGACUCAGGAAAUGUUUAUGGAAUUAAAUUAGAAGCUUUGGUCAGAAAGACAGUCAGGUCCCAGAGUGAGAUGCAGGCCGUGGGCAGACACAGAGCUCAGCUAAACCCCGCCUCUUCCUUGCUCUGCUCUGUACACGUCAUUCACCAGACACCCCAUCCUCUGCCCAGUGCUGGCCUGUAUGGAACCUUUUUCCUUAUCACUCACUCAUUAAACGCUCAGACAAUCCA